This 563-nucleotide ribosomal RNA is filed under the name fuel tank bacterium A7. RNAcentral's name for it is "bacterial SSU rRNA". It matches the Rfam family "Bacterial small subunit ribosomal RNA", at positions 337 to 890 of the family's 1533-position model. The record is from RNAcentral.
UCCUACGGGAGGCAGCAGUAGGGAAUCUUCCGCAAUGGACGAAAGUCUGACGGAGCAACGCCGCGUGAGUGAUGAAGGCUUUCGGGUCGUAAAACUCUGUUGUUAGGGAAGAACAAGUGCUAGUUGAAUAAGCUGGCACCUUGACGGUACCUAACCAGAAAGCCACGGCUAACUACGUGCCAGCAGCCGCGGUAAUACGUAGGUGGCAAGCGUUAUCCGGAAUUAUUGGGCGUAAAGCGCGCGCAGGUGGUUUCUUAAGUCUGAUGUGAAAGCCCACGGCUCAACCGUGGAGGGUCAUUGGAAACUGGGAGACUUGAGUGCAGAAGAGGAAAGUGGAAUUCCAUGUGUAGCGGUGAAAUGCGUAGAGAUAUGGAGGAACACCAGUGGCGAAGGCGACUUUCUGGUCUGUAACUGACACUGAGGCGCGAAAGCGUGGGGAGCAAACAGGAUUAGAUACCCUGGUAGUCCACGCCGUAAACGAUGAGUGCUAAGUGUUAGAGGGUUUCCGCCCUUUAGUGCUGAAGUUAACGCAUUAAGCANCCGNCCUGGGGAGUACGGCCGCA